Molecule: long non-coding RNA, 1021 nt
Organism: Paramormyrops kingsleyae
Lineage: Eukaryota; Metazoa; Chordata; Actinopteri; Osteoglossiformes; Mormyridae
Source: RefSeq, a predicted model, not a curated record
AAUGCUUUUUUCGCUACAGUAUCCUUCGGCUUCAGAAUAUCAACGGUAAGUGCUUUACUGGGCAAAAUAUAUUUAUUUUACUGCAGAUAGGCUGUGAGCGAUAGCCAAACAAACAUCUCAGUGUUUUCUCCACUCAGCCCCGCUGCCAUUAUUAUUAAUGACUUAAUGAGAGCCACAUGUGCUUAAAUGUUUGUUAAACUGUGUUAUUUUUUAAUCAGCAUGUAAACUAUGUACAGUGUGGUUUACUCCAUUCUGCACAUUGCGCUUGUGGACGGUGAUAAACAAUCCGAUGUCACACUUGCAGAAAUUUCUCACAGUUUGUCACAGCAAGUGUCGGGGGUAAAAUGACGCGAAUUUGUACGCACUGUCACAGUCAGAACUUUCAGCACAUGCUAAGCUAGCAGCUUACAAGUCACGUUUUCUUGUUUUUUUUCUUCUUCCCAUCCACCACGCAGGCAUCAGUGAUCAUUAGCACAGUGACGGCGACGCGCAAAGCGCGCGAGACCAGGCGCGUUAAUAAACGCAACGGUGGCCGCGGCUGAAGUGUUUGCUGUGCAGCUGCGGCUGUUGCGGUCGUAAGUUUAAAGGGCGCCGCCACGCUGCGACUGCUGCCGUGUACCAUGGAGUUACGGAGGUGGAUGCCUCAUAUUGCGCGGCACUGUGGAGACCGAUCGCCGAUGAGUCAGACGUCAACGCAAGCUGAGAUUACAAGAAUUCUGCGAGGUGCUGCACAGAGAUUGCCGUGUGAUGUCAGAGCUCCCCCCGUGCUGUUUGCGUUGGUGUUUGCUCAGGGGGAGUCCCCACAAAAAAGUGUGCAGGCAACCAGGAGAGGCUUUAGGGCACCUGAAGUACUAUCUCAAGCGAAUCGUCUGAGCCCACUGAUAAGGCAUCAUCCAACAACAUCACAGCAGCGUAAUUGGUCAAAUGUGAGGAUGUCACGUCAGUUAAGAAAAAAGUGAGAAUAGACAGACACAACUUCUUGUCCCUGCUAAGGAAAUAAACAUUGCGUAUGUAUGCUGGA